AACGCACAUUGCGCCCUUUGGCAUUCCGAGGGGCAUGCCCGUUCGAGCGUCAUUACACCCCUCAAGCCUGGCUUGGUAUUGGGCACACCGCGGGGACACCCCUCUCUGGGGACCCGGGCCCAGAUGUGACUCGGCUGGACGGUCGGAAUCUCAGCGUUGUAAACACCAAAGCCGCUGUGGGACCGGCCCGGACGUCGCCGUUUAAACCUCCAUCACAGGUUGACCUCGGAUCGGGUAGGGAUACCCGCUGAACUUAA
RNAcentral lists this unclassified non-coding RNA (257 nucleotides) under uncultured fungus. Its description in RNAcentral is "partial contains 5.8S ribosomal RNA, internal transcribed spacer 2, and large subunit ribosomal RNA". Lineage: Eukaryota; Fungi. The record is from RNAcentral.